GAUGAACGCUGGCGGCGUGCCUAAUACAUGCAAGUCGAGCGAACGGACGAGAAGCUUGCUUCUCUGAUGUUAGCGGCGGACGGGUGAGUAACACGUGGAUAACCUACCUAUAAGACUGGGAUAACUUCGGGAAACCGGAGCUAAUACCGGAUAAUAUUUUGAACCGCAUGGUUCAAAAGUAAAAGACGGUCUUGCUGUCACUUAUAGAUGGAUCCGCGCUGCAUUAGCUAGUUGGUAAGGUAACGGCUUACCAAGGCAACGAUGCAUAGCCGACCUGAGAGGGUGAUCGGCCACACUGGAACUGAGACACGGUCCAGACUCCUACGGGAGGCAGCAGUAGGGAAUCUUCCGCAAUGGGCGAAAGCCUGACGGAGCAACGCCGCGUGAGUGAUGAAGGUCUUCGGAUCGUAAAACUCUGUUAUUAGGGAAGAACAUAUGUGUAAGUAACUGUGCACAUCUUGACGGUACCUAAUCAGAAAGCAACGGCUAACUACGUG
This 497-nucleotide ribosomal RNA is filed under the name uncultured bacterium. RNAcentral describes it as "partial 16S ribosomal RNA". It matches the Rfam family "Bacterial small subunit ribosomal RNA", at positions 28 to 507 of the family's 1533-position model. The record is from RNAcentral.